RNAcentral lists this ribosomal RNA (201 nucleotides) under Phoma sp. Fanqin13. Its description in RNAcentral is "5.8S ribosomal RNA". The stretch from base 2 to 155 matches the Rfam family "5.8S ribosomal RNA". Rfam says of the family: 5.8S ribosomal RNA (5.8S rRNA) is a component of the large subunit of the eukaryotic ribosome. It is transcribed by RNA polymerase I as part of the 45S precursor that also contains 18S and 28S rRNA. The record is from RNAcentral. Lineage: Eukaryota; Fungi; Ascomycota; Dothideomycetes; Pleosporales; Didymellaceae.
CAACUUUCAACAACGGAUCUCUUGGUUCUGGCAUCGAUGAAGAACGCAGCGAAAUGCGAUAAGUAGUGUGAAUUGCAGAAUUCAGUGAAUCAUCGAAUCUUUGAACGCACAUUGCGCCCCUUGGUAUUCCAUGGGGCAUGCCUGUUCGAGCGUCAUUUGUACCUUCAAGCUAUGCUUGGUGUUGGGUGUUUGUCUCGCCUU